RNAcentral lists this unclassified non-coding RNA (89 nucleotides) under Pseudomonas arsenicoxydans. Lineage: Bacteria; Pseudomonadati; Pseudomonadota; Gammaproteobacteria; Pseudomonadales; Pseudomonadaceae. The record is from RNAcentral.
UGUGGGAGCGGGCUUGCCCGCGAUAGCGUCGGUACAUUCAGUAUCAAUGUGACUGAAAGGCCGCCAUCGCGGGCAAGCCCGCUCCCACA